RNAcentral lists this ribosomal RNA (279 nucleotides) under uncultured bacterium. RNAcentral describes it as "partial 16S ribosomal RNA". It matches the Rfam family "Bacterial small subunit ribosomal RNA", at positions 506 to 784 of the family's 1533-position model. The record is from RNAcentral.
UGCCAGCCGCCGCGGUAAUACGGAGGGUGCGAGCGUUAAUCGGAAUCACUGGGCGUAAAGCGUACGUAGGUGGCAAGGUCAGUCAGGCGUGAAAGCCCUGGGCUCAACCUGGGAAUGGCAUUCGAUACUGCGUAGCUAGAGUCUGACAGAGGGAUGUGGAAUUCCGGGUGUAGCGGUGAAAUGCGUAGAGAUCCGGAGGAACACCAGUGGCGAAGGCGGCAUCCUGGGUCAAGACUGACGCUGAGGCUCGAAAGCGUGGGGAGCAAACAGGAUUAGAUA